CACAGAUGCAUGAAAGAGGAGGAUGCUGUUCCUGAGCAAGCGUGGAGGAAGAUUGAGUUGUGCGUGGGAGGACAGAACAGGAGAACACUCCAGUUACUUGGGCCACUCCUCCAGCAAAUUUAAUAAGUAUUGUUAGAAAGUACUUUGCAAGGAAAAAUAAAGUUAAUCUCCUAAGCGUAGUUGAAUGAUGGGGCUGAGCUGGCAAUAAUAGUAAUUAAGAAAAAAACUUUAUUGAAAAAAAGUUGGCUAAUUUUCUACACCAUUCAGCUUUAUUCUGGGGGAAGAGGAGGUAGUGGUUUUUAUCACACAGUUUCCGAACUGGAUAAAUCACCCAAUCUAUAAGCCAUAACAAAUCCUUCUUCUGUUCCAGCUUUUUCUGAAGUUAUUUUUCCUCCAGAGAGGGAGAAUUGUAGCCCCAAACUUGAUUCAGAAAGGUCCAGGAUAUUCAAGCCUUCAAAGGUCAUUCAGACACAAACUAAGACAGACCAUCUCGCAAGCAUAUGGGGAUUGAGUUCAAAAUCAAAUCUAGGGUUUGGUGGAUCUUGGGAAGAGUACAGCUGUGGCAAUUUCAGUUCGAUGAAGCCAGAGGACCCUACACUGUUAAUGAAAUAUUACUCCUUUUCUUGGCAUCUCUCCGGUCAUUUUCAUCGUGACUUGUACUCAAAGCAGGGAUGUCUAUGUGCCUGGAUGGGACUGGACAUUCAAGAACUGAUCUCCGAGCAUCAUUCAGGAGCACCGAUUUCAAGAAAAGCCACCAUCGGGAUAGGACUGAAAUACAGAAGUGCUACCUCGAGAGGACAUAACCAGAUAGACUGCAAGGCAGAGGCAAGAUUUUCCCCAACAUCUUCAUACUGGUGA
This 858-nucleotide long non-coding RNA is filed under the name Anser cygnoides (Swan goose). Its description in RNAcentral is "lncRNA (ENSACDG00005010511.1)". Lineage: Eukaryota; Metazoa; Chordata; Aves; Anseriformes; Anatidae. The record is from RNAcentral.